This 69-nucleotide transfer RNA is filed under the name Ictidomys tridecemlineatus (thirteen-lined ground squirrel). Its description in RNAcentral is "Spermophilus tridecemlineatus (thirteen-lined ground squirrel) tRNA". It matches the Rfam family "tRNA". Rfam says of the family: Transfer RNA (tRNA) molecules are approximately 80 nucleotides in length. Their secondary structure includes four short double-helical elements and three loops (D, anti-codon, and T loops). Further hydrogen bonds mediate the characteristic L-shaped molecular structure. tRNAs have two regions of fundamental functional importance: the anti-codon, which is responsible for specific mRNA codon recognition, and the 3' end, to which the tRNAs corresponding amino acid is attached (by aminoacyl-tRNA synthetases). tRNAs cope with the degeneracy of the genetic code in two manners: having more than one tRNA (with a specific anti-codon) for a particular amino acid; and 'wobble' base-pairing, i.e. permitting non-standard base-pairing at the 3rd anti-codon position. The record is from Rfam by way of RNAcentral. Lineage: Eukaryota; Metazoa; Chordata; Mammalia; Rodentia; Sciuridae.
GGAGUUGUAGCUCAGUCAUAGAGUGCUUGCCUUGUACACAUGAGGUCCUGGGUUCAAUCCUCAGCACCA